GCCAGAGCACUUAGAAACCUUUAGAAGCGUUUAAAACCCUUCUUCUCCGCAACCCUAGUGUGCACAUCUCUUCCUUCACAGAGGGUCGGCUAGUGAGAGUGCUUCUUCGUUCAGUGCGUGUGACCUAUCGGAGUCCUGCUACCGUUGUGGAUGGUCGUCCAUUCCGCCAUCAUUCUCGGCCAGUGGAAAACUCCCAAACCCG
RNAcentral lists this small RNA (202 nucleotides) under Vigna angularis var. angularis. RNAcentral's name for it is "Non-protein coding transcript". The record is from RNAcentral. Lineage: Eukaryota; Viridiplantae; Streptophyta; Magnoliopsida; Fabales; Fabaceae.